GAUGAACGCUGGCGGCGUGCCUAAUACAUGCAAGUCGAGCGAACAGACGAGGAGCUUGCUCCUCUGACGUUAGCGGCGGACGGGUGAGUAACACGUGGAUAACCUACCUAUAAGACUGGGAUAACUUCGGGAAACCGGAGCUAAUACCGGAUAAUAUAUUGAACCGCAUGGUUCAAUAGUGAAAGACGGUUUUGCUGUCACUUAUAGAUGGAUCCGCGCCGCAUUAGCUAGUUGGUAAGGUAACGGCCUACCAAGGCGACGAUGCGUAGCCGACGUGUGAGGGUGAUCGGCCACACUGGAACUGAGACACGGUCCAGACUCCUACGGGAGGCAGCAGUAGGGAAUCUUCCGCAAUGGGCGAAAGCCUGACGGAGCAACGCCGCGUGAGUGAUGAAGGUCUUCGGAUCGUAAAACUCUGUUAUUAGGGAAGAACAAAUGUGUAAGUAACUAUGCACGUCUUGACGGUACCUAAUCAGAAAGCCACGGCUAACUACGUG
RNAcentral lists this ribosomal RNA (497 nucleotides) under uncultured bacterium. RNAcentral's name for it is "partial 16S ribosomal RNA". It matches the Rfam family "Bacterial small subunit ribosomal RNA", at positions 28 to 507 of the family's 1533-position model. The record is from RNAcentral.